ACAUGACUCCCUCAUCACUAACAGGCUAACCUAUAUUACAAUAGGAGAAUUAAUGCUAGAAUGAGUAACCAGGGUCCUCCCUCUACGACGCAAGCUUACAUCUGCACAUUAUUAACAAACACCCAAUAUACGACAAAUCCAACAAGCAAAGUAUUAAUCACCUUGUUAACCCGACAGAGGAGCGUCCGUUAAGAAAGAUUAAAACCUGUAAAAGGAACUAGGCAAACCCGUCAAGGCCCGACUGUUUACCAAAAACAUAGCCUUCAGCAAACCAAAGGACAAGUAUUGAAGGUGAUGCCUGCCCGGUGACCCAGUUCAACGGCCGCGGUAUCCUAACCGUGCAAAGGUAGCGCAAUCAAUUGUCCCAUAAAUCGGGACACGUAUGAAUGGCUAAACGAGGUCUUAACUGUCUCUUACAGGCAAUCGGUGAAAUUGAUCUCCCUGUGCGAAAGCAGGGAUAACCACAUAAGACGAGAAGACCCUGUGGAACUUCAAAAACAGCAACCACCCCAAUAUACAUUCACACCCAAAGCACUGGUUUGCAUUUUUUCGGUUGGGGCGACCUUGGAGCAAAACAAAACCUCCAAAAACUGGACCAUACAUCCAGACUAAGAGCAACCCCUCAAAGUGCCAAAAGCACCCAGAUCCAAUACAAUUGAUCAAUGGACCAAGCUACCCCAGGGAUAACAGCGCGAUCUCCCCCGAGAGUCCAUAUCGACGGGGAGGUUUACGACCUCGAUGUUGGAUCAGGACAUCCUAGUGGUGCAGGGGCUACUAAGGGUUCGUUUGUUCAACGAUUAACAGUCCUACGUGAUCUGAGUUCAGACCGGAGCAAUCCAGGUCGGUUUCCAUCUAUGACGAACUCUUCCUCGUACGAAAGGAUCGGAAAAGUGAGGCCAAUACCACAAGCAAGCCUUCGCCUUAAGUAAUGAAGCCAACUCAAUUACAAAAGGCUAUCACACCACAUCACCUCCUAGAAAAGGACGCCA
This 989-nucleotide ribosomal RNA is filed under the name Mirafra africana harterti. RNAcentral describes it as "partial 16S ribosomal RNA". It matches the Rfam family "Bacterial large subunit ribosomal RNA", at positions 1248 to 2855 of the family's 2925-position model. The record is from RNAcentral. Lineage: Eukaryota; Metazoa; Chordata; Aves; Passeriformes; Alaudidae.